Molecule: ribosomal RNA, 999 nt
Filed under: uncultured Burkholderia sp.
Lineage: Bacteria; Pseudomonadati; Pseudomonadota; Betaproteobacteria; Burkholderiales; Burkholderiaceae
Description: bacterial SSU rRNA
Rfam family: Bacterial small subunit ribosomal RNA
Source: RNAcentral
GUGGGGAAUUUUGGACAAUGGGCGAAAGCCUGAUCCAGCAAUGCCGCGUGUGUGAAGAAGGCCUUCGGGUUGUAAAGCACUUUUGUCCGGAAAGAAAUCCUUGGCUCUAAUACAGUCGGGGGAUGACGGUACCGGAAGAAUAAGCACCGGCUAACUACGUGCCAGCAGCCGCGGUAAUACGUAGGGUGCGAGCGUUAAUCGGUAUUACUGGGCGUAAAGCGUGCGCAGGCGGUUUGCUAAGACCGAUGUGAAAUCCCCGGGCUCAACCUGGGAACUGCAUUGGUGACUGGCAGGCUAGAGUAUGGCAGAGGGGGGUAGAAUUCCACGUGUAGCAGUGAAAUGCGUAGAGAUGUGGAGGAAUACCGAUGGCGAAGGCAGCCCCCUGGGCCAAUACUGACGCUCAUGCACGAAAGCGUGGGGAGCAAACAGGAUUAGAUACCCUGGUAGUCCACGCCCUAAACGAUGUCAACUAGUUGUUGGGGAUUCAUUUCCUUAGUAACGUAGCUAACGCGUGAAGUUGACCGCCUGGGGAGUACGGUCGCAAGAUUAAAACUCAAAGGAAUUGACGGGGACCCGCACAAGCGGUGGAUGAUGUGGAUUAAUUCGAUGCAACGCGAAAAACCUUACCUACCCUUGACAUGGUCGGAAUCCCGCUGAGAGGUGGGAGUGCUCGAAAGAGAACCGGCGCACAGGUGCUGCAUGGCUGUCGUCAGCUCGUGUCGUGAGAUGUUGGGUUAAGUCCCGCAACGAGCGCAACCCUUGUCCUUAGUUGCUACGCAAGAGCACUCUAAGGAGACUGCCGGUGACAGACCGGAGGAAGGUGGGGAUGACGUCAAGUCCUCAUGGCCCUUAUGGGUAGGGCUUCACACGUCAUACAAUGGUCGGAACAGAGGGUUGCCAACCCGCGAGGGGGAGCUAAUCCCAGAAAACCGAUCGUAGUCCGGAUUGCACUCUGCAACUCGAGUGCAUAGGCUGGAAUCGCUAGUAAUCGCGGAUCAG